AGGGCGGCGAGUAGCCGCCGGGGCCACCGGCCCGCUCCACCCGGGCCGGAUGCCCGGCCCGUUCUACCCGCCGGCCCGUCCGG
Molecule: transfer RNA, 83 nt
Filed under: Streptomyces nitrosporeus
Lineage: Bacteria; Bacillati; Actinomycetota; Actinomycetes; Kitasatosporales; Streptomycetaceae
Description: tRNA-Trp
Source: RNAcentral